GCUCAGGAUGAACGCUGGCGGCGUGCCUAAUACAUGCAAGUCGAACGAGUUCUGAUUAUUGAAAGGUGCUUGCAUCUUGAUUUAAUUUUGAACGAGUGGCGGACGGGUGAGUAACACGUGGGUAACCUGCCCUUAAGUGGGGGAUAACAUUUGGAAACAGAUGCUAAUACCGCAUAAAUCCAAGAACCGCAUGGUUCUUGGCUGAAAGAUGGCGUAAGCUAUCGCUUUUGGAUGGACCCGCGGCGUAUUAGCUAGUUGGUGAGGUAACGGCUCACCAAGGCAAUGAUACGUAGCCGAACUGAGAGGUUGAUCGGCCACAUUGGGACUGAGACACGGCCCAAACUCCUACGGGAGGCAGCAGUAGGGAAUCUUCCACAAUGGACGCAAGUCUGAUGGAGCAACGCCGCGUGAGUGAAGAAGGCUUUCGGGUCGUAAAACUCUGUUGUUGGAGAAGAAUGGUCGGCAGAGUAACUGUUGUCGGCGUGACGGUAUCCAACCAGAAAGCCACGGCUAAC
RNAcentral lists this ribosomal RNA (515 nucleotides) under Lacticaseibacillus rhamnosus GG. Its description in RNAcentral is "bacterial SSU rRNA". It matches the Rfam family "Bacterial small subunit ribosomal RNA", at positions 22 to 501 of the family's 1533-position model. Lineage: Bacteria; Bacillati; Bacillota; Bacilli; Lactobacillales; Lactobacillaceae. The record is from RNAcentral.